RNAcentral lists this long non-coding RNA (236 nucleotides) under Medicago truncatula (barrel medic). Its description in RNAcentral is "lncRNA gene40925". Lineage: Eukaryota; Viridiplantae; Streptophyta; Magnoliopsida; Fabales; Fabaceae. The record is from RNAcentral.
UGCAACAGAAAGAAACUUCCCAUAUUUCACUCUCUCGUUUAUAGAUUGGUGUAAAAGGAGAAAUGGAAAGAGCUUUCGCAAACCUUAAUCUUGAAGGAAACUUCUAUAGCUGCAAACAUUGCCAGACACAUUUUGCCCUUGUUGAUGAUAUCAUUUCCAAGGUGUAAGGUGAUGGGGCCUGAUUGAAGCCUCUACUUGGCUGAUCAAGAAGAUGCUGAAGAGUGAAGAUGCUUGAU